UACGUAGGGUGCAGGCGUUAAUCGGAAUUACUGGGCGUAAAGCGUGCGCAGGCGGCUCCUUAAGUCAGAUGUGAAAGCCCCGGGCUUAACCUGGGAACUGCGUUUGAAACUGAGGAGCUAGAGUGUGGAAGAGGCGAGUGGAAUUCCCGGUGUAGCGGUGAAAUGCGCAGAUAUCGGGAGGAACACCAAUGGCGAAGGCAGCUCGCUGGGACGUUACUGACGCUGAGACGCGAAAGCGUGGGGAGCAAACAGG
Molecule: ribosomal RNA, 253 nt
Filed under: uncultured bacterium
Lineage: Bacteria
Description: partial 16S ribosomal RNA
Rfam family: Bacterial small subunit ribosomal RNA
Source: RNAcentral